UACAGAGGUCCCAAGCGUUGUUCGGAUUCACUGGGCGUAAAGGGUGCGUAGGUGGUGAAUUAAGUCGGGUGUGAAAUCUCCGGGCUCAACCCGGAGCGUGCGCCCGAAACUGAUUUGCUAGAGGAUAGGAGGGGAGACUGGAAUUCUCGGUGUAGCAGUGAAAUGCGUAGAUAUCGAGAGGAACACCGGUGGCGAAGGCGAGUCUCUGGACUAUUCCUGACACUGAAUCACGAAAGCCGGGGGAGCAAACAGG
This 253-nucleotide ribosomal RNA is filed under the name uncultured bacterium. Its description in RNAcentral is "partial 16S ribosomal RNA". It matches the Rfam family "Bacterial small subunit ribosomal RNA", at positions 524 to 776 of the family's 1533-position model. The record is from RNAcentral.